GGAGGCAUAGCUCAGCUGGUUAGAGCGCAUGCUUCACACGCAUGAGGUCACAGGUUCGAGUCCUGUUGUCUCCA
Transfer RNA from Firmicutes bacterium CAG:110, 74 nucleotides. It matches the Rfam family "tRNA". From Rfam's summary of the family: Transfer RNA (tRNA) molecules are approximately 80 nucleotides in length. Their secondary structure includes four short double-helical elements and three loops (D, anti-codon, and T loops). The record is from Rfam. NCBI's taxonomy places the organism in Bacteria, Bacillati, Bacillota.